Molecule: ribosomal RNA, 491 nt
Filed under: uncultured bacterium
Lineage: Bacteria
Description: bacterial SSU rRNA
Rfam family: Bacterial small subunit ribosomal RNA
Source: RNAcentral
AUUGAACGCUGGCGGCAUGCUUUUACACAUGCAAGUCGGACGGCAGCACAGAGAAGCUUGCUUCUUGGGUGGCGAGUGGCGAACGGGUGAGUAACAUAUCGGAACGUACCGAGUAAUGGGGGAUAACUAAUCGAAAGAUUAGCUAAUACCGCAUAUUCUCUGAGGAGGAAAGCAGGGGACCUUCGGGCCUUGCGUUAUUCGAGCGGCCGAUAUCUGAUUAGCUAGUUGGUGGGGUAAAGGCCUACCAAGGCGACGAUCAGUAGCGGGUCUGAGGGGAUGAUCCGCCACACUGGGACUGAGACACGGCCCAGACUCCUACGGGAGGCAGCAGUGGGGAAUUUUGGACAAUGGGCGCAAGCCUGAUCCAGCCAUGCCGCGUGUCUGAAGAAGGCCUUCGGGUUGUAAAGGACUUUUGUCAGGGAAGAAAAGGCUGUUGCUAAUAUCGACAGCUGAUGACGGUACCUGAAGAAUAAGCACCGGCUAACUACGUG